UUUUGAUAGAGGUCGCAUUCUUAAUCAGUAGCUUGUUGGAUGUUUCGGAGACAGUGGAAGAUAAGCAAAAGGGAAGAGUGCCGAAAGGAUAGGAUACCGGGAUUUUAUCCUUGGGCAUAUGGUGAAUAACCAUAUGACUGUCAUCAUUUCUGAUGGAGUGCUAUCUGA
Molecule: non-coding RNA, 168 nt
Filed under: Ruminococcus gauvreauii
Lineage: Bacteria; Bacillati; Bacillota; Clostridia; Eubacteriales; Oscillospiraceae
Description: Lysine riboswitch
Rfam family: Lysine riboswitch aptamer
About the family: Riboswitches are metabolite binding domains within certain messenger RNAs that serve as precision sensors for their corresponding targets. Allosteric rearrangement of mRNA structure is mediated by ligand binding, and this results in modulation of gene expression. This family includes riboswitches that sense lysine in a number of genes involved in lysine metabolism, including lysC.
Source: RNAcentral